CAUGCAGUCGUACGGGAUCCGAGGUAGCAAUACUUUGGUGAGAGUGGCGCACGGGUUGCGUAACACGUAUGCAACCUACCUUUAACCGGGACACAACCUCGAGAAAUUGUGGCUAAUAUCCCAUAACACUGCGAAGUGGCAUCACUUUGCAGUUAAAACUCCGGUGGUUAUUGAUGGGCAUGCGCGACAUUAGCUAGUUGGUGAGGUAACGGCCCACCAAGGCUACGAUGUCUAGGGGUUCUGAGAGGAUUAUCCCCCACACUGGUACUGAGACACGGACCAGACUCCUACGGGAGGCAGCAGUAAGGAAUAUUGGUCAAUGGGCGCAAGCCUGAACCAGCCAUGCCGCGUGAAGGAUGACGGUCCUAUGGAUUGUAAACUUCUUUUGUAUAGGGAUAAACCUAGAUACGUGUAUCUAGCUGAAGGUACUAUACGAAUAAGCACCGGCUAACUCCGUGCCAGCAGCCGCGGUAAUACGGAGGGUGCAAGCGUUAUCCGGAUUUAUUGGGUUUAAAGGGUCCGUAGGCGGGCCGAUAAGUCAGUGGUGAAAUCUCAUAGCUUAACUAUGAAACUGCCAUUGAUACUGUCGGUCUUGAGUAAAUUAGAGGUAGCUGGAAUAAGUAGUGUAGCGGUGAAAUGCAUAGAUAUUACUUAGAACACCAAUUGCGAAGGCAGGUUACCAUGAUUUAACUGACGCUGAGGGACGAAAGCGUGGGGAGCGAACAGGAUUAGAUACCCUGGUAGUCCACGCCGUAAACGAUGCUAACUCGUUUUUGGGGCGCAAGCUUCAGAGACCAAGCGAAAGUGAUAAGUUAGCCACCUGGGGAGUACGUUCGCAAGAAUGAAACUCAAAGGAAUUGACGGGGGCCCGCACAAGCGGUGGAUUAUGUGGUUUAAUUCGAUGAUACGCGAGGAACCUUACCAAGGCUUAAAUGGGAAAUGACGGAUUUAGAAAUAGAUCCUUCUUCGGACAUUUUUCAAGGUGCUGCAUGGUUGUCGUCAGCUCGUGCCGUGAGGUGUUAGGUUAAGUCCUGCAACGAGCGCAACCCCUGUCACUAGUUGCUAACAUUAAGUUGAGGACUCUAGUGAGACUGCCUACGCAAGUAGAGAGGAAGGUGGGGAUGACGUCAAAUCAUCACGGCCCUUACGCCUUGGGCCACACACGUAAUACAAUGGCCGGUACAGAGGGCAGCUACACAGCGAUGUGAUGCGAAUCUCGAAAGCCGGUCUCAGUCCGGAUUGGAGUCUGCAACUCGACUCUAUGAAGCUG
RNAcentral lists this ribosomal RNA (1270 nucleotides) under uncultured Bacteroidota bacterium. RNAcentral's name for it is "bacterial SSU rRNA". It matches the Rfam family "Bacterial small subunit ribosomal RNA", at positions 54 to 1328 of the family's 1533-position model. Lineage: Bacteria; Pseudomonadati; Bacteroidota. The record is from RNAcentral.